RNAcentral lists this ribosomal RNA (186 nucleotides) under uncultured Oxalobacteraceae bacterium. RNAcentral describes it as "partial 16S ribosomal RNA". It matches the Rfam family "Bacterial small subunit ribosomal RNA", at positions 497 to 682 of the family's 1533-position model. Lineage: Bacteria; Pseudomonadati; Pseudomonadota; Betaproteobacteria; Burkholderiales; Oxalobacteraceae. The record is from RNAcentral.
CUAACUACGUGCCAGCAGCCGCGGUAAUACGUAGGGUGCAAGCGUUAAUCGGAAUUACUGGGCGUAAAGCGUGCGCAGGCGGUUUUGUAAGUCUGACGUGAAAGCCCCGGGCUCAACCUGGGAAUUGCGUUGGAGACUGCAAGGCUUGAAUCUGGCAGAGGGGGGUAGAAUUCCACGUGUAGCAGU